This 464-nucleotide ribosomal RNA is filed under the name uncultured bacterium. Its description in RNAcentral is "bacterial SSU rRNA". It matches the Rfam family "Bacterial small subunit ribosomal RNA", at positions 920 to 1378 of the family's 1533-position model. The record is from RNAcentral.
CGCCCGGGGGCGCGCCCCGGGCGGGGCGGGGGCACGGGGGGAACGCGAAGAACCUUACCUGGCCUUGACAUCCAGAGAACUUAGCAGAGAUGGUUUGGUGCCUUCGGGAACUGUGAGACAGGUGCUGCAUGGCUGUCGUCAGCUCGUGUUGUGAAAUGUUGGGUUAAGUCCCGCAACGAGCGCAACCCUUAUCCUUUGUUGCCAGCGAUUCGGUCGGGAACUCAAAGGAGACUGCCGGUGAUAAACCGGAGGAAGGUGGGGAUGACGUCAAGUCAUCAUGGCCCUUACGGCCAGGGCUACACACGUGCUACAAUGGCGCAUACAAAGAGAAGCGACCUCGCGAGAGCAAGCGGACCUCAUAAAGUGCGUCGUAGUCCGGAUUGGAGUCUGCAACUCGACUCCAUGAAGUCGGAAUCGCUAGUAAUCGUAGAUCAGAAUGCUACGGUGAAUACGUUCCCGGGUCU